AGAGUUUGAUCCUGGCUCAGGAUGAACGCUAGCGGCAGGCUUAAUACAUGCAAGUCGAGGGGUAACACGGGUAGCAAUACCUGGUGACGACCGGCAAACGGGUGCGGAACACGUACAGAACCUUCCUUUAAGCGGGGAAUAGCCCAUAGAAAUGUGGAUUAAUACCCCAUAGUAUUAUUGAUUGGCAUCAAUGGAUAAUUAAAGAUUUAUCACUUAAAGAUGGCUGUGCGGCUGAUUAGGUAGUUGGUGCGGGUAACGGCCCACCAAGCCAGCGAUCAGUAACUGGUGUGAGAGCACGACCAGUCACACGGGCACUGAGACACGGGCCCGACUCCUACGGGAGGCAGCAGUAAGGAAUAUUGGUCAAUGGACGCAAGUCUGAACCAGCCAUGCCGCGUGAAGGAUGAAGGCCCUCUGGGUUGUAAACUUCUUUUAUCUGGGAAGAAAUCCAUAUUUUCUAAUGUGGUUGACGGUACCAGAUGAAUAAGCACCGGCUAACUCCGUGCCAGCAGCCGCGGUAAUACGGAGGGUGCAAGCGUUAUCCGGAUUCACUGGGUUUAAAGGGUGCGUAGGCGGGUUGGUAAGUCCGUGGUGAAAUCCCCAAGCUUAACUUGGGAACUGCCGUGGAUACUAUCAAUCUUGAAUAUCGUGGAGGUAAGCGGAAUAUGUCUGUAGCGGUGAAAUGCUUAGAUAUGACAUAGAACACCAAUUGCGUAGGCAGCUUACUACACGAUGAUUGACGCUGAGGCACGAAAGCGUGGGGAGCAAACAGGAUUAGAUACCCUAGUAGUCC
RNAcentral lists this ribosomal RNA (793 nucleotides) under uncultured bacterium. RNAcentral's name for it is "bacterial SSU rRNA". It matches the Rfam family "Bacterial small subunit ribosomal RNA", at positions 8 to 796 of the family's 1533-position model. The record is from RNAcentral.